GAGAGAGAGAGAGAGAGAGAGAGAGAGAGAGUUGAGCUAGAAUACUAUCGAUAGCAAACGGACUCCGUUGCCAUCCAUUUGUUUUCGAUGAUGAAGCCUCCAAAUCGACGAUCGGCACCGUUGAACAUGAUCUAUACCACUUGAAGUGUUUAAAAAUCAAAUUUCGUGCAUUUUCGAUAUUGUUCUCUUACCCAUCGAGUGGACACAAAAAUGAAAGGCUGAAAUUGUAUAUUCUUUCAAAAAUGAUGAUAGAAGUCUUGUAAUCAAGAUCAAGAGUAUAGAUCUUGUUUUAAAUAGUUUAAAGAAUUUUCUAACAAAAAUUCAAUUGAUUUAGAUAUCUUUACGCCGUUAAACGAGAAAACGCUUCAUAUCGACCAUUAAAAUUAUAAAUUUUGAAACUCUUUGAUAAUUAGGCAAAUGAUGUCGAAAUGAUUUGAAAUUUGAUUUCUAAACACUUCAAGUGGUAUAGAUCAUAUUCAAUGGUGCCGAUCGUCGAUUUGGAGGCUCUAUCAUCGAAAACAAAUGGGUGGCAACGGAGCCCGUUUGCUAUCAAUAGUAUUCUAGCUCAACUCUAUAUAUAUAUAGAGAGAGAGAGAGAGAGUAGAACCACUAUGCUAUCAGAGUAUAGAGGAUAUGGUGAUUACGACUUUUUGACCCUUAAAUCAACCCCUUUGAUCAUUUCUAACCUUCAUAUUAAUACUAUUAUCAUAUUGGGACCACUCAACCCUAGAUAUACUACUCAACCCUAGCAAGGAUCGCAAUCAUCCCAACCGCUUAUAUAUACUAGAAAUUAAGAAAGAGAUACCACUUAUAUUUAAAGAAAUGGUUCUUUUCUUGCCACGCCAUAGCUAUUUUGGAAUUUCAGCUGAAUAGGGCAAUUUAUUUAAUGUAUUCAAACACAAAAGUAAAUUAGCUUGUUUUCUUAAGUCUUAGUAACGUUCAAACUACGUCAAAGAAAAUACAGUAAUUUAUUUAUCGUGUUUGAACACAGCAAAUAUUUUACUAUGUUUAAAUUGCUAGUCCAAUACGACACUUAAGUGUCAAUAAAUAAAGUACAAUUGCAUAUAUGCCCUUGAAAUUUUUGACUUUCUUAUUUAUCCUUCUUGAAGGCUAAUAUUAAAAAAAAUACACUUUUAAUGUUCCAAAUUAUUCCAAAUUUAUCCCUAAAGUUAAAUUUUAUUAGGAAAUUAUUAGGAACUGAUGUUAUCUCUAUAAAAUUACUAUCUUGCCCUAUCUCUAUAAAAUUACUAUCUUGCCCAUUCAAAUAUACCAUUCUACCGGUACUAACUUUUCUUAUUUGCACUUAAGUCAAGGGCAAAAAAGGUAUUUUGACUUUUGUCUUUUCUAAUAUAUUCUUCUACUGUUACCAACUUUUCUUAUUUUUUCUUUAGUUAGGGGUAAAAAUGGUAUUUUAUUUUAUUUUUUAACUCUGAUAGAAAUUUAACACGGAUUUAGCCAAGAUAAUUUAACUGGUAGUAACAGUUAUUUUUGAAUAAUGGAGAAAUAUACAGGGGUAUAUUUGAAACAAAAAUGUAGGGGUAUAUUAGCUAUUUUAGAAGUUUUGAAGAGUAUAUUAGAUAUUAUCCCUAAAAAAUCACUCCUACAAAUAGGAAUAGAAAUUUGUAGGAGCUAUUUAUUAAAAACAAUCUAAGAGGGAGCUAAAUGCAAAAAAGACCGAAUAAUAAGCUUAAGGGGCUUUUUUAUAAAAUGACCCUGUAGAAAUUCGUAUUUGCCAAAAUAACCCUCCCAAAAAAUUAUUUGUGAAACUAACCCUCCUUUCGCCACGUGGGCGCCACAUCAGACAUUUCUCACAAAGACGGUGAAUAGUUCACCGUCUUUGCUAAUGUCUCGUGAAGGCGGUAAAUGGUUUACCGCCUUCAGCGUGAACCAUUCAUCGCCUUCUCAGCAAAUCCCCGUGCAAGCCAGCGGUUUUGUGGCCUAGAUAAGACGGUGAAUUGUUCACCAUCUUCAUAAGACGGUAAACGAUUAACUAUCUUUAGAGUAAAAUUCCCACCCAGCCUAAUUUGGCCAAGUCCUGGAGCCCGGGCUAAAACACAGAUAAGACGGUGAAUAGUUCACCGUCUUAUCUGUGCUACACUAAAGGCGGUGAAUGGUUCACUGCCUUUAGUGUAAACAGCCGUCGAGGAAUGCGCGGGCCGUUCUAGAGAAGGCGGUGAAUCGUUCACCGUCUUCAUAAGGUGGUGAAUCAUUCACCGCCUUCAUUAGGUCUACCUCAGACCGACCCCGACACCCUCCCUCCCUUUCAAAUCUCGCCUUCUCUCUGUCUUUCACUCUCUAUCUCUCUCUCUCUCUCUGCCCCUCCCUCUCCAGGAGGGAAAACCGGUCGCCGCCGCCCCUGCCGACGUCGCUGCCCCCGGUCGUCGUCAACCCCCACAUCCGCCGCCCGUGCCCCUUCCUCAGCAUUGUAGGUAGCAUUG
Molecule: long non-coding RNA, 2438 nt
Filed under: Ananas comosus (pineapple)
Lineage: Eukaryota; Viridiplantae; Streptophyta; Magnoliopsida; Poales; Bromeliaceae
Description: long non-coding RNA (ACOM_LNC030239)
Source: RNAcentral